GGUGUGUGGACAACGAGGAAGCCAGGUGGGGGUGUGGGGAGAGGAGCGCAGAAAUCUCAGCUCUGUCCCUGUUCUGCACCCAGCAUGAUGGCCAGCCCUACUGCCACAAGCCCUGCUACGGAAUACUCUUUGGACCGAAAGGAGUGAAUACCGGAGCCGUGGGCAGCUACAUCUAUGACAGAGACCCAGAGGGCAAAGCUCAGCCCUAGGGAUGCAGCCCGUCCAAGGAGCCAGGGCCUUCUCCUCUGCCGGCCCUGCUCCAGAGCCUACUGCUUGGCCCUAUGGGGGAGAGCGGCCAGCCGUCCGGUCCUCCCCCUGCACGUCCAGGGCCCGGGUGUUGUGCGGGAGGAGGCCCGCCUGCCUAUCCCCGUUUCUCUCCCCUGCCCGUGGUCCCACACGGCCCCGCGUGUCUCCUGGCCCUCCGUGGGUCUGUCUGAGGUGGGCGUCCCGCUCUCCCCCUCCUACUGCCCCAGGCCUGCCUCACAGUGUUAUUUCUGCUCCCCUCGCCGGUGACGCUGCCACGCUCUUCACGGUGUUCCCAGGGCGGACCCAGGGCGUCCCUGCCAGGAGCCCUCUGCCCAUCGCCCCCACCGCCUUGCAGUGCUUGCCUGACACCCUUACGCGGCUCACAUGUAACUGCUGAGAUUGCCGUCAAUAAAGGUUUGAGGAUUGGGGGA
Molecule: long non-coding RNA, 677 nt
Organism: Panthera uncia (snow leopard)
Lineage: Eukaryota; Metazoa; Chordata; Mammalia; Carnivora; Felidae
Exons: 2
Source: RefSeq, a predicted model, not a curated record